This 1260-nucleotide long non-coding RNA is filed under the name Cyanistes caeruleus (blue tit). RNAcentral's name for it is "lncRNA (ENSCCEG00000023306.1)". Lineage: Eukaryota; Metazoa; Chordata; Aves; Passeriformes; Paridae. The record is from RNAcentral.
AUGCUCAGAGUGGGGGCUUUGGGGGGGCUUUGGGUUUCUCCUGGGAGCAGGGACUGUCCCCUGUCCCGGCAGGACUGGCUUUGGUGGGGGCUCUGCUGUGGGGUGGGGUCCCAGCACGGGGCGGCUGCAGGACCCCCAUGGAGGGGGCCAGAGCCGGAUCCAGGGUCAGGGACAGCUUGGGAAGGGUCUCCCUCCUGCCUUUGGGCUGGGCACCUGCCCCAGGGUGGGCUGGGGGCCAGGGCAGCUUCCCGGGCCUGGGGGCUGAGCUGUGCCCCUGCCCCCCUUUGGGGGCUCCGUGCUGGCUCUGAUGAGCUGUCACUGCCGGUCUCAGCAGCUCAGGGACACCUCAGGUGUCACUCCCCAUGCUCAGGGGACUGGGGAAGGCACGGUCCCAGCUCGGGGGGGCUGCAGGAGGGAGCUGGGGCAGCCCGGGCUGCGGCUCACCCUGUGCGGGGAUGGCAGGAGAUGGAAGGGAUGGCAGGAGGAGGAGGAGGAAGGGAUGGCAGCGGGAGGAAGGGAUGGCAGCGGGAGGAAGGGAUGGCAGGAGGAGGAAGAGGAAGGGAUGGCAGCGGGAGGAAGGGAUGCCCCCCCAGCCCAGGUGACCCUUGGCCCUUUCUGAGCCCCGUGCCGGUGUUUGUGUCCCCUCCCGGUGCCGGCAGCAGCAGAGCAGGGGGUGCCGCCUCUUCCAUCGCUCCCAUCCCUCGCUCCCAGCCGGGGCUGGCGUGGGCACCAGCAGGUCCCAGCACGCCUCCCCUCAAACCAGUUCGCAGCAAACUUUUCACCCCGCUGGGCUGGGACCGGCAGAGCGGGACUGGGGGAGCCCCAGGGAGCUCCCACGGGGGGUGCAGGGGGUGCACCUGGGCCCCUGCCCCUCCCAGUGGCUCUUCCGUGCCAUUCCGUGCCCUCCUCCUGGCACCUCUGGCACCGAGGCUGGCCGGGGCUGGGGUCCCACCCCGGGCUGGUUGCUGGGGUGCAGCUGGCGGAGCUCCAGCCCCGCUGCUCAGGAGCCCUGCGUGCUCUGGGGUGUGCUGGCAGGGGGAGCAGGGAGCGCCCCUUCCCCUUCCUCAGACCUUCCCCUUUCCCAGACACUUCCCUUUCCCCUUUCCCAGACACUUCCCUUUCCUCCUCCCCACGGCAGCCCCUGGCAGGGCCAGCCCCGGAGGGCAGGGUCACACCCCCCGUGUCCCCUCGUCCCCCUCCUUCGGUUCUGGGGGGGCUCCUCAGCGCCAGCCCCGCUCCCCCGGCCCCCUCGGGGACUGA